This 29-nucleotide non-coding RNA is filed under the name Mus musculus (house mouse). Lineage: Eukaryota; Metazoa; Chordata; Mammalia; Rodentia; Muridae. The record is from RNAcentral.
UGUAUUCUCUCUGUGAGCUUACAUCUGUG